Molecule: ribosomal RNA, 253 nt
Filed under: uncultured bacterium
Lineage: Bacteria
Description: partial 16S ribosomal RNA
Rfam family: Bacterial small subunit ribosomal RNA
Source: RNAcentral
UACGUAGGGUGCGAGCGUUAAUCGGAAUUACUGGGUGUAAAGGGUUCGUAGGCGGUGUGGCAAGUUGGGAGUGAAAUCUCUGGGCUCAACCCAGAGGCUGCUUCCAAAACUGCCAUGCUUGAGUGUGGGAGAGGCGCGUGGAAUUGCAGGUGUAGCGGUGAAAUGCGUAGAUAUCUGCAGGAACACCCGUGGCGAAAGCGGCGCGCUGGACCACAACUGACGCUGAGGAACGAAAGCUAGGGGAGCAAACAGG